RNAcentral lists this long non-coding RNA (225 nucleotides) under Panax ginseng (ginseng). RNAcentral describes it as "long non-coding RNA (PGIN_LNC019058)". Lineage: Eukaryota; Viridiplantae; Streptophyta; Magnoliopsida; Apiales; Araliaceae. The record is from RNAcentral.
UUAAUACAACUUAUAACAAUAUCCCAGGUUAACUAACAUUGACAUAACUUACAUACCCUUAUAUAACCAAAAGGUUUACAUAAUUAAUUACAUAAUAAAACAUAACCAUUAAAAGUUGACUUUAACUACUCCUGAGCCUUGCCUUUGCCUUUUGUCCCUGUUAGAACCUUCUGCUACAUCGACAUUAGCUGAAAUAUUUUAUUUAAGCAAGGGUGGGCAACGAGU